This 890-nucleotide ribosomal RNA is filed under the name Platismatia norvegica. RNAcentral's name for it is "SSU rRNA". It matches the Rfam family "Bacterial small subunit ribosomal RNA", at positions 389 to 1197 of the family's 1533-position model. Lineage: Eukaryota; Fungi; Ascomycota; Lecanoromycetes; Lecanorales; Parmeliaceae. The record is from RNAcentral.
CGGCUACAGCACUUGGAGGAUGUAUAGCAAUAGCUACUUGCAUCAUCAGUUCCCGUAAGGAAACUGAUGAUGCAAGAUCGACUAUGUCGAAUAAAAUUCUAGGUAGAAUUAUGAUAAUGACAUUGUCUGCCUAUGUGUCUUGACUAAAUUACGUGCCAGCAGUCGCGGUAAUACGUAGAAGACUAGUGUUAUUCAUCUUUAAUCGGUUUAAAGGGUACCUAGACGGUAAAUCAAGCCUACGAAUAAAAUAAAUGUAGGGACUAAUUUACUAGAGUUACUUAUGAGGGGGUUUAAAAGUACUGCUGGUGUAGAGAUGAAAUUCUGUCAUACCUCUUUUCAAUAGAAAAAUAACGGCACAGGUAUAGGCGAAAGCAUCCCCUUAUGUGAUAACUGACGUUGAGGGACGAAGGCUUUGUGUAGCGAACAGGAUUAGAUACCCUAGUAGUCAAAGCAGAAAAUGAUGAAUGUCAUAGAUUAGACGUAUAAGUUUAUUCUAUAAAUGAAAGUGUAAGCAUUCCACCUCAAGAGUAAUUUGGCAACAUUGGAACUGAAAUCAUUAGACCGUUUCUGAAACCAGUAGUGAAGUAUGUUGUUUAAUUUGACGGCACCCAAAAAACCUUACCACAAUUUGAAUAUUUAUAUUUUUUUUAUUGUUUUCUUAUUAAUUUUAUUCCUUUUCUGCUGAUCAGAAUAUGAGAAGAUCAGAAAAUCAGAAAAUUAAUGAAGAGGCAAUAAGGUAUAUUUACAAGCGUUGCACGGCUGUCUUCAGUUAAUGUCGCGAGACUAUGGUUAGUUCCAUUAAAUUAACGUAAACCCUUACUUUAUUUAUAUAUAGAGUAGUUCCCCGUGAUAUUGGAUAUGAUAACAGGACUAAGACAAUCUGAUGCGUA